RNAcentral lists this ribosomal RNA (394 nucleotides) under uncultured bacterium. RNAcentral describes it as "partial 16S ribosomal RNA". It matches the Rfam family "Bacterial small subunit ribosomal RNA", at positions 338 to 729 of the family's 1533-position model. The record is from RNAcentral.
CCUACGGGUGGCAGCAGUGAGGAAUAUUGGUCAAUGGACGGAAGUCUGAACCAGCCAUGCCGCGUGCAGGAAGACGGCUCUAUGAGUUGUAAACUGCUUUUGUAUAAGGGUAAAUUUGAAUACGUGUACUCAGCUGAAAGUACCGUACGAAUAAGGAUCGGCUAACUCCGUGCCAGCAGCCGCGGUAAUACGGAGGAUCCAAGCGUUAUCCGGAUUUAUUGGGUUUAAAGGGUGCGUAGGCGGGUUGAUAAGUUAGAGGUGAAAUGUCCGAGCUCAACUCGGGAACUGCCUCUAAUACUGUUGAUCUAGAGAAUAGAUGCGGUAGGCGGAAUGUGUGGUGUAGCAGUGAAAUGCUUAGAUAUCAUGCAGAACACCGAUUGCGAAGGCAGCUUAC